AUUGGGCAGGCAAUGCCUUUUUCAGCAAAAUCUCUACAGCCGCGAUCUCAUGACAGAGUGGUUGCCCUGUGAACGACGUGCAAACGCCUAAAGCAGAAGAGGGGCUGGAGUCCAGCAGAGUGAGCGAGCAGGCGCAAACAGCAGGACCUGGCAUGAGCAGCAAGGAGAGCAGUCACCAGUAAUGAUGCAUGGAAAAGGGGAUGGGACCUCACUGAAUGCAACACCCCAUCUCCAAAUCACCAUCGGGAGCGGUUAACUUGAUCCUGGUCACAACAGCUGGAUGCGUCAGGAAAUCCUGGGUGUCAAGAAAUGAAGUCCUUUCUUUUGACGAGAUCACGGGGGACUGGCCAGCAGCCAGGCGCAAGGCGCUCUGCAGCUCGCCCGCGCCGCCUUACUCGGCCCCAUGCUUCCCCCAGGGCGCUUCUCUCGCGUGUAUUUCUGGGCGCCACAAAAAGAGGGUUAGAUUUUUCUUCUGCAUGAUAUUUUAGUCUGCACUACACUCCGGAAGAGCCAGUAACUUCUCCGUAAGACCUGUCGCAGUCUCUGUGUAUAAAACCCCCUUUGUUGGGGGGUGUGUGUGUGUGUGUGUGUGUGUGGUUUGACUGAGCCGCAUGAUCAGAGUCAGGUGACAACAUUGGGCACAAGAACGGAGCAGAAUAAGCAGUGAGACCUCGGAGAUUAGCUGCCGAUCUUGCCUUCUGAGAAGCUGUGCUGCUCCUCGGGGAACGAUGCGUGCCUGGCCCUCUCCUCUGCUUUGGAGCUUAACCGCGGCAUGGCUGACACUGAUGUUUGGAUGCUGCCGGUGAUGUGGACUCCCUGAUUUCUGUAUUACUCUUGGUCAAAUGUGGCAGAGGAGGCUUUCUGGACUCCAAGCAAGGAAACAUGAGUUAAACAGUUGGUAUUGCUUUAGGCCAGACAACCACUACGCAGGUCCCUAUUGCCCCAACACCAGUGCCUCCCAGUGCAACGGCCACCCAGGUCCCUAUUGCCCCAACACCAGUGCCUCCCAGUGCAACGGCCACCCAGGUCCCUAUUGCCCCAACACCAGUGCCUCCCAACACAGCUGCUGCCUCAGCCUCCGCACCCCCAGUUCCUGCUGCGACACUCUCGGCUGGAGUGGUGUCCACCACGCCAAACCUUGCCGCAUCCACGGGAGCGCCGUCUACUGACCCAAGCGUGGGAACAUCAGCUCCAGUUUUGUCCACCACCCCAGAGGCAACAGCGCUCACUUCUGGAAGCGCGACCACCUCUCGCAAGCCCAGCGCAGCGCCCACCAGUGCCCCGUCCUCCCCUCUGGCUGUGACGGUGUCUCCCAGCGUCCCAUCGGCAGCUCCGUUCCUCACCACCUCAGAGCCCUCGGGCUGCGGCAGGGUGAACGUGACAGCGUGUGAACACUGUUCCCCAGGGACGUUUCCCAACGAUGGCACCCUGAGCUGCUUGUGCUGCUCGCGGGGCUCCUGCGCGGGCCCUGCUGACUGCGUCCCCUGCCCGGUGGGUCACUACCAGCCCCUGAGCGGCCAACAGUCGUGUCUGCCCUGUCCGCAGGGGUAUUACGCCAGUUUUCGGAAGAGCACCGCAUGCUCUCCCUGUCCGCCUGGCUCUUACACUAACGAGUCUGGGGCUGCAGCUUGCAGAGCCUGCCAGCAAGGGUAUUUCAGCUCACAGCAAAAUGCAGCUUUUUGCCUGCCUUGCCUGCCUGGAUCAUUUUGCAACACCACCGGCUGCACCACGUGUCUGGCUUGCCCUGGUGGGACGGAGGCUCUUCGCAAGGCAUCCGAGGAGUGCACACCUUGCCUCCCAGGUAUGUUCAAAGGUCCUGAAGACAACAGAUGCAAGCUCUGCAAGGUGGGAGAAUACCAAUUACAGCAGGGCAAGGAGAGCUGUGACCUGUGCCCAGAACAUUACUACUGUCCUAGCCCAGAUGAGAACCCGGUCAAGUGCCCUGCUGAUGCCUUCUGCCCUGCCGGCAGCACUGAGCCCGAGUAUUGCAUGGAGGUGUUUCUUUACAAGGCAGGAGACUCUUGCCAGUUGGCCCCUCUGAUGAUCAUCCUCCUGGCCCUUUUCACAGCAGGGGGAAUCCUUGCUGUCUUUCUGAUAAUUCUGAAGAGAAGGCAAGAAUAUAGGAAGAAAUCUUUGAAGUCUCUACUGUUACCAAAAGGAUCAGGACAACACACAACGUAUGGUGUGAUGGAGCACACAGAACCAGUAUACACUGGUUGGUAG
This is a long non-coding RNA of Apteryx haastii (Great spotted kiwi), 2223 nucleotides long. NCBI's taxonomy places the organism in Eukaryota, Metazoa, Chordata, Aves, Apterygiformes, Apterygidae. The record is from Ensembl.